RNAcentral lists this transfer RNA (57 nucleotides) under Gammaproteobacteria bacterium. Its description in RNAcentral is "tRNA-Asp". It matches the Rfam family "tRNA", at positions 8 to 61 of the family's 71-position model. From Rfam's summary of the family: Transfer RNA (tRNA) molecules are approximately 80 nucleotides in length. Their secondary structure includes four short double-helical elements and three loops (D, anti-codon, and T loops). Further hydrogen bonds mediate the characteristic L-shaped molecular structure. tRNAs have two regions of fundamental functional importance: the anti-codon, which is responsible for specific mRNA codon recognition, and the 3' end, to which the tRNAs corresponding amino acid is attached (by aminoacyl-tRNA synthetases). tRNAs cope with the degeneracy of the genetic code in two manners: having more than one tRNA (with a specific anti-codon) for a particular amino acid; and 'wobble' base-pairing, i.e. permitting non-standard base-pairing at the 3rd anti-codon position. Lineage: Bacteria; Pseudomonadati; Pseudomonadota; Gammaproteobacteria. The record is from RNAcentral.
UAGUUCAGCUGGUUAGAAUGCCGGCCUGUCACGCCGGAGGUCGCGGGUUCAAAUCCC